This 459-nucleotide ribosomal RNA is filed under the name uncultured bacterium. Its description in RNAcentral is "bacterial SSU rRNA". It matches the Rfam family "Bacterial small subunit ribosomal RNA", at positions 1 to 507 of the family's 1533-position model. The record is from RNAcentral.
AGUACAGACGAGUUUGAUCAUGGCUCAGAACGAACGCUGGCGGCAGGCCUAACACAUGCAAGUCGAGCGCCCCGCAAGGGGAGCGGCGGACGGGUGAGUAACGCGUGGGAACGUACCCUUUGCUACGGAAUAGCCUCGGGAAACUGGGAGUAAUACCGUAUGUGCCCUUCGGGGGAAAGAUUUAUCGGCAAAGGAUCGGCCCGCGUUGGAUUAGGUAGUUGGUGGGGUAAUGGCCUACCAAGCCGACGAUCCAUAGCUGGUUUGAGAGGAUGAUCAGCCACACUGGGACUGAGACACGGCCCAGACUCCUACGGGAGGCAGCAGUGGGGAAUCUUAGACAAUGGGCGCAAGCCUGAUCUAGCCAUGCCGCGUGAGCGAUGAAGGCCUUAGGGUUGUAAAGCUCUUUCAGUGGGGAAGAUAAUGACUGUACCCACAGAAGAAGCCCCGGCUAACUCCGUG